RNAcentral lists this ribosomal RNA (425 nucleotides) under uncultured bacterium. RNAcentral describes it as "bacterial SSU rRNA". It matches the Rfam family "Bacterial small subunit ribosomal RNA", at positions 354 to 796 of the family's 1533-position model. The record is from RNAcentral.
GUGGGGAAUCUUAGACAAUGGGGGCAACCCUGAUCUAGCCAUGUCGCGUGAGUGAUGAAGGCCUUAGGGUCGUAAAGCUCUUUCGCUGGGGAAGAUAAUGACGGUACCCAGUAAAGAAACCCCGGCUAACUCCGUGCCAGCAGCCGCGGUAAUACGGAGGGGGUUAGCGUUGUUCGGAAUUACUGGGCGUAAAGCGCGCGUAGGCGGAUUGGAAAGUUGGGGGUGAAAUCCCGGGGCUCAACCCUGGAAUGGCCUUCAAAACUCCCAGUCUUGAGGUCGAGAGAGGUGAGUGGAAUUCCGAGUGUAGAGGUGAAAUUCGUAGAUAUUCGGAGGAACACCAGUGGCGAAGGCGGCUCACUGGCUCGAUACUGACGCUGAGGUGCGAAAGCGUGGGGAGCAAACAGGAUUAGAUACCCGAGUAGUCC